GGUGACGACCUUCGGGAGCUUGCACAGGUGCUGCAUGGUUGUCGUCAGCUCGUGUCGUGAGAUGUUGGGUUAAGUCCCGCAACGAGCGCAACCCUUAUUGCUAGUUACCAUCAUUAAGUUGGGGACUCUAGCGAGACUGCCAGUGAUAAACUGGAGGAAGGUGGGGAUGACGUCAAAUCAUCAUGCCCCUUAUGACCUGGGCUACAAACGUGAUACAAUGGCUGAAACAAAGGGCAGCGAAGGAGCGAUCUGGAGCGAAACCCAAAAAGCAGUCUCAGUUCGGAUUGAAGUCUGCAACUCGACUUCAUGAAGUCGGAAUCGCUAGUAAUCGCGGAUCAGAACGCCGCGGUGAAUACGUUCUCGGGGUUU
This 369-nucleotide ribosomal RNA is filed under the name uncultured Acholeplasma sp. RNAcentral's name for it is "bacterial SSU rRNA". It matches the Rfam family "Bacterial small subunit ribosomal RNA", at positions 1007 to 1382 of the family's 1533-position model. Lineage: Bacteria; Bacillati; Mycoplasmatota; Mollicutes; Acholeplasmatales; Acholeplasmataceae. The record is from RNAcentral.